Molecule: small nucleolar RNA, 69 nt
Filed under: Amborella trichopoda
Lineage: Eukaryota; Viridiplantae; Streptophyta; Magnoliopsida; Amborellales; Amborellaceae
Description: snoRNA snoR60
Rfam family: Small nucleolar RNA snoR60
About the family: snoR60 is a member of the C/D class of snoRNA which contain the C (UGAUGA) and D (CUGA) box motifs. Most of the members of the box C/D family function in directing site-specific 2'-O-methylation of substrate RNAs.
Source: Rfam by way of RNAcentral
AAGCACAUGAAGAAACUCGGAUUCCCCUUCAGGACAACCUGGAUGAUGUUAAUUCGAGUUUCUGAUGCA